RNAcentral lists this transfer RNA (84 nucleotides) under Bacilli bacterium. RNAcentral describes it as "tRNA-Leu". It matches the Rfam family "tRNA". Rfam says of the family: Transfer RNA (tRNA) molecules are approximately 80 nucleotides in length. Their secondary structure includes four short double-helical elements and three loops (D, anti-codon, and T loops). Further hydrogen bonds mediate the characteristic L-shaped molecular structure. tRNAs have two regions of fundamental functional importance: the anti-codon, which is responsible for specific mRNA codon recognition, and the 3' end, to which the tRNAs corresponding amino acid is attached (by aminoacyl-tRNA synthetases). tRNAs cope with the degeneracy of the genetic code in two manners: having more than one tRNA (with a specific anti-codon) for a particular amino acid; and 'wobble' base-pairing, i.e. permitting non-standard base-pairing at the 3rd anti-codon position. Lineage: Bacteria; Bacillati; Bacillota; Bacilli. The record is from RNAcentral.
GCAGCAGUGGCGGAAUUGGUAGACGCGCUACUUUGAGGGGGGAGUAAGAGUAAUCUUGUGUGAGUUCGAGUCUCAUUUGCUGCA